This 87-nucleotide transfer RNA is filed under the name Bacteroidales bacterium. RNAcentral's name for it is "tRNA-Ser". It matches the Rfam family "tRNA". From Rfam's summary of the family: Transfer RNA (tRNA) molecules are approximately 80 nucleotides in length. Their secondary structure includes four short double-helical elements and three loops (D, anti-codon, and T loops). Lineage: Bacteria; Pseudomonadati; Bacteroidota; Bacteroidia; Bacteroidales. The record is from RNAcentral.
GGUGAGGUGGGUGAGUGGCUUAAACCAACAGUUUGCUAAACUGUCGUACGGGCAACCGUACCAAGGGUUCGAAUCCCUUCCUCACCG